UACGUAGGUGGCGAGCGUUGUCCGGAUUUACUGGGCGUAAAGGGCGUGCAGGCGGUUUGUUAAGUGCAGGGUGAAAGCUCCCGGCUCAACUGGGAGAGGUCCUUGCAUACUGGCGAACUCGAGGGAGGCAGAGGAAAGUGGAAUUCCCGGUGUAGUGGUGAUAUGCGUAGAUAUCGUAAGGAAGACCAGUGGCGAAGGCGGGUCUCUGGACAGUUCCUGACGCUGAGGCACGAAGGCCAGGGGAGCAAACGGG
Molecule: ribosomal RNA, 253 nt
Filed under: uncultured bacterium
Lineage: Bacteria
Description: partial 16S ribosomal RNA
Rfam family: Bacterial small subunit ribosomal RNA
Source: RNAcentral